AAGCCGGCUGGCCCCGUGAGGCGGGCGUGGGGGGGGGGUGAUUUGGGUUACGCUUAUGAGGAGCGAAGUUGAAGUGUAUUGGAAACUGUUGCGGAGCGGAGGAGAUGUUUCCGGGGCCAGUCACACGCGGGAAAAGGUGACGGCGAGCAGUGGUUUCUCAAAGCAGUGGUGACGGUGGAGAGCCUGACGCAAUCCAUGAGGUGAAACACUGCGGAGAGAGGAGAGGCACACAAAGGUCCGUGAAGUCGUGUGACGAGAGUGAUUGAAAUGGGGGCUUUCUGGGCAAUUUGCACUGCAAAAUAAAGGCGAAAUCCAUCCGAUGAAUUUUUGACAACAAAUAGAACUUUAGUAAAAACUA
Tyto alba (common barn owl) is the source of this 358-nucleotide long non-coding RNA. RefSeq lists it as uncharacterized. Lineage: Eukaryota; Metazoa; Chordata; Aves; Strigiformes; Tytonidae. The record is from RefSeq and is a predicted model, not a curated record. The transcript is spliced from 2 exons.